This is a long non-coding RNA of Gopherus flavomarginatus (Mexican gopher tortoise), 2322 nucleotides long. RefSeq lists it as uncharacterized. NCBI's taxonomy places the organism in Eukaryota, Metazoa, Chordata, Testudines, Testudinidae. The transcript is spliced from 3 exons. The record is from RefSeq and is a predicted model, not a curated record.
GUUACAGUACUUGUAGACAGGGAUUUAGGCCUUAGGUCCUGAGCUGCCAAACAUGUGCUUGCUUAACUUAACUCAGCCUUAGUGAGACUUGACCUCAGUUGCUCUGUUCAAAGCCUUAAGGUUAAAUACAUGUGUAAGUAUUUACAGGAUUGGGUCCUUAGGGAUAACUGUUGCUGUAAUGUCUCUGCACGCUGUGGCGGGCUACUAACAAAGCCAUAUUGUUAGUUAUUUUUGAUGCAAGGUACAUGUGGAAUGUACCUUGAUAUUGAACAUUUCAAUAAAAAGUUUAUGGAUAAAUACAUAGCACAACAAAACCAUUCUUAUUCAUCCCAGUACACUGAAGUAUUUUUAUUUUAAUUCAAUUCAGAGCCAAGCUCCAAGUGAGUAAUCUUGUGAUAUCUGGACCUACAACUUUGCCUUAAUUGUGAGCUCAGCUGUGAAAAGCACUGAUGGGGAGAAAAGAAGAGAAAAAAAUCAGCAGUGAAGGACAUAGAAGGACGAAAACUACAGGAGUGUGGAUGAGAGGAGCUGUCUGAAGUUUGAUCUGGACAAGACAAAGAUAACGUGGUGGGUAAAAGAUAAAAUCCACAAUACUGGUGGGGGUAUCUGUUUCCCUCUUCUCUUGAUCAAAUAGGUUUGCAACUUAAAAGUUCUUUUGGACCAUUGUCUGCUUCUGAAUUACAGGGUAGAAGUAGUGGCCAUAACUCCAGUUACCAAAGUGACUGCAAACUUUCUUUUCAGAAAUGGACCUCACUAUGAAUAGUCAAGUCUUUGUCACUUCCUGUGAUUCACUCUACUUGGGGAUAUGCUUGAAGACCACUCUAAAGUGUUACUUAACGUAGAAUAUGUCAGACCAGUUGCUUAGAGUUGUGAUUUCUGCAAAGCACAUUACAUCCAUGCUCUGUAUGUGGUCUUGACUUCAUAUUUGCUUUUGAGCACAAUUCAAGGUGUUUGUGUAGGCCUCAUCUACACUUAAAAAUUAGGUCAACCUAGCUACAUUGCUCAGGGCUGUGAAAAAUAUGCUCUGAAUGCCGUAGCUAUGCUGAGCUAACCCCGUGUAGAUGCAGGUAGGUCAACAGAUGAAUUCUUCAGUCAACCUAGUGACCACCUCUUUGAGGGGUGGAUAAACUACAUUGAUGGAAAAAAACCCUUGCAUUGAUGUAGGAAGCAUCUAUGUUAUUAAUUGCAUAGCUGCAGAGCUGCUGCUGUAGUGCUUGUAAUGUAGAUAGCGUCAAUCUUUAAAGUCAUUUUGGCUCUAUUGCUAGCUGUUCAAGACACCUCCUCAUAUGUAUUACUUUGAGAGAUGAGAUCAGCUAAACUGCUUAUUGACAGUCUCUAAAUUUGAACUCUAAGGGAUUGGAGAUAGAGCAUCUUUAGAAAAGCAUCUUCAACCCUGGAACUUGUUUCCCUUGUUGAUCUGCCAGAGCCUGUUUUUCAACCUUCCAGGCAUAGCACAAAGCCCAUCUGUUUACUGACAAAUAUAGUAGAAGGUAGGUAGGAUACAUGGGAAAUCUCAGUAUAGUUUGGGUCUAGUGUUUCUGCGUGUAGUGUCAGUAAAUCUGCCUGCAAUUUUAUGUUUCUUACAAAUAUAUAGAUAUGCUCUGGGGCUUGAAUGAUGGAUUUUUGUUUUACAUUAGUAUUAAACUAGUGAUUUUUCCAUUAACAUUUUGCUGGAAAAAGCCAUUUCAACCAAAACAAAAAUGUUCACAAAAGGUUUUCAUUUGGGUGAAAAAUGUUAGUUUUUCAAUGAAAAGUUUCUAAAUUAAAUAUUCUAUUUUGGUGAGGGGAAAAAAGUUUCUCUGACUUUUUUUACUUUCCAGUAGCUUUUCCAGUGAUGGUGGUGGUAGGGAAAUAAGUAAAAAGUAGUGUUCUAAAAAAUUGCACCGGCAACCUUACUUCUGGAAUUUCCUGGCAUUUUAGUGCUUGAUGUCACCACAUCAAUGUUCUUUUAAUGCAGUUUUGGAUGUAAUUUCCUAAUUAAAAGAAAAGAACCCUGAAAAACUGAAAUUCUAUCAAGUGGAACCAUAUAUAGUGACCCCCUCCCAACUUGGGUCAUCAGCAGGGUUUGGACGGCUAGAGCCACAGCACAGGCUGCUAGGGUCUGCGCUAGGACAGUGACUGAUAGAAGUAGUAGGUUGUUAUCCUUUAUGUGGUUCACAGCUCCUGGCUGCCAGUGGAUGACUGCAGAGACUUUGGACUCCUGGGUUCAAGAGGGGAGUAGUGCCUGGGGUUACAGACCACUCCGCCCCGCUGUCCCCCGCCACUGCCCAAGGUGCCCACGCAGCCAGCUGGGCAGUGCCCUCACACCUGGUUCUCUAGGGC